AGAUCCCUGUGGGUCAGAGAACAUUGGAAGGGCCAGACCGGGGAAGAAGAUCCUCGGCCAUCUCGGAGGCGAGAGGUGUUUGCUCACGAGAACAGGACGUGGGAUAUGCUCAUGCUGUGGAUCCUGGGUGGACACCGGGCGCAAAAGAGGGAUCGGAGAGGAUCCUUGGAAGACUGGAGUCCAGCAUCCAGGAGUUUGGAGGAGUGAGGCUUCUGCUCCUGAAGGGGAGAAGAAUGUAAUACAGCAGCCGAAAAGAGCGAGAGCGUCAGACCAGAAUUUCCAGAUUCGACAUGAUCGAAGGGGUCGGGGCGAGCCGAUGCCGCCGCGAACAUGAGGCGGUCUUUCUUCUUCAGGAGAAUAAUUGAUUUUUAGAAGCCGUCUGCUUAUUCAUAGACCUUUCAAUUACCUGGGAGAGAACAGAAGAUGAGGGAAAUUGUGUUAAAACAUUACAAAUGCGCAUAUGUGCUUGAA
Molecule: long non-coding RNA, 471 nt
Organism: Ornithorhynchus anatinus (platypus)
Lineage: Eukaryota; Metazoa; Chordata; Mammalia; Monotremata; Ornithorhynchidae
Exons: 3
Source: RefSeq, a predicted model, not a curated record